UAAUAAAACUUUCAACAACGGAUCUCUUGGCUCUCGCAUCGAUGAAGAACGCAGCGAAAUGCGAUAAGUAAUGUGAAUUGCAGAAUUCAGUGAAUCAUCGAAUCUUUGAACGCACCUUGCGCUCCUUGGUAUUCCGAGGAGCAUGCCUGUUUGAGUGUC
RNAcentral lists this ribosomal RNA (159 nucleotides) under Halofilum salinum. RNAcentral describes it as "5.8S ribosomal RNA". It matches the Rfam family "5.8S ribosomal RNA". From Rfam's summary of the family: 5.8S ribosomal RNA (5.8S rRNA) is a component of the large subunit of the eukaryotic ribosome. It is transcribed by RNA polymerase I as part of the 45S precursor that also contains 18S and 28S rRNA. Lineage: Eukaryota; Viridiplantae; Chlorophyta; Ulvophyceae; Ulvales. The record is from RNAcentral.